GACGAACGCUGGCGGCGUGCUUAACACAUGCAAGUCGAGCGGUAAGGCCCUUUCGGGGGUACGACGAGCGGCGGAACGGGUGAGUAACACGUGGGUGACCUCGCCCUCAGCUCUGGGAUAAGCCUCGGGAAACCGGGUCUAAUACUGGAUAUGACUCCAUGACGCAUGUUGGUGGGGUAGGAAAGCCUUGUGCGGCUGAGGAUCGGGCCCGCGGCCUAUCAGCUUU
RNAcentral lists this ribosomal RNA (226 nucleotides) under uncultured bacterium. RNAcentral's name for it is "partial 16S ribosomal RNA". It matches the Rfam family "Bacterial small subunit ribosomal RNA", at positions 28 to 248 of the family's 1533-position model. The record is from RNAcentral.